Non-coding RNA from Lactobacillus sp. ASF360, 182 nucleotides. The record is from Rfam. Lineage: Bacteria; Bacillati; Bacillota; Bacilli; Lactobacillales; Lactobacillaceae.
CAAAUUCGAAGAGGCGCAACUGACAAAAGUAGCAAUUAGGAGUUUAGGCGAAACUAUGAUGAAUUGCGAAAGGGGAGGUUGCCGAAGUGAUAAUAUGAGGCCAAGUAUUAUUUGCUGGGAUGCAAUUUAAGAGAUUGUAAACUGUCGCGAAAAUUAAGAUUCGCGGAGCGCUAUCGAUCAUA